UCGAAACAAAUGAUCAAAUCCAACCUCCUGCGUCCGCGCAUGCGCUUCCCUCUUUGCGGAGUAACUUCCGCUACAGAUCGACUUUCGUGCAGUUUUGUUUUGAGUAACCGAAUUCGUUCCACGAAUUAAUUCUUCCCAAUUAGUUGUAGACGGACAGAAACCGCGACACAGUUCGUCCUUCACUGCUUUAAAUAAGUAAAGCUUCAUUUAAAUCUUCGCGUCCGGAUAAACUCGUCCCGGUGGUGCAAGUUGAAGCUUCUCGGCCUAGUUAGCUUAGCUCGCUAACAAAGACGCGUUUGUCAGCAACAUAUCGCAAAUUAGAGAUCCCCUGUGAAGGUGUUGUGAUUAUCGUGUGAAAUAUGUGUGCAAGGACGACAGCAAAGUACGAGAAGGAACUUUCUGGAACGAAAGAGGAGGACGAGCCACAACGUCAACUUGUGGACUCUGUUCGCAUGCAGCCUCGUGUUGUGUUACACAGAGCAGAUGUCAGUGAAAAUCUUCCUCCAGAGCGGCAGCAGUCAGUGUCCCCUCACAUCAAAGAGGAAGAGGAGGAUGAAGAGGUUCAACACAUCAAAGAGGAGGAGGAAGAGUUCCUUCACAUGAAAGAGGAAGAGCAGGAGGAAAUCAUCAAGGUUCCAUCGACUGGUGUCCCUUUGAAGAGUGAAGAUGAAGGUCGACGUGAGGAGAGACGAGGGGCGGAGCCACCAAACAGCAACAGCUCAAGUGAUGGAGACCACUGUGGAGGAUCACAAGCAGAUGGCCUCUUAGCUCCACAAUCAGAUAGUGACAUGACGUUGCACUCUACUCACACUGAUGGAAAUGAUGGUGGUGAACCGUCUGAAGGUGAUAUGACAUGUCACACUGACAACAAACGAUGGAAAUCUUCUCAGUCUGGGAAAAAGGUUGCUAAUAAGAGCAUUUUGAAAAAACGUGCGCGAACACACACUGGAGAAAAACGUUUUUGCUGCUCAGUUUGUGGUCAAAGAUUCUCUGUGAAGGGAAAGUUAAAAAUACACACAAGAACCCACACUGGUGAGAAACCAUUUUCCUGCUCAGUUUGUGGGCAAACUUUCUCUGAGAUGGGAACCUUAAAAAUUCACACAAGAACGCACACUGGUGAGAAACCGUUUGCCUGCUCAGUUUGUGGUCGAAGAUUCUCUCGAAAGGGACAUUUGACAAGUCACACAAGAACGCACACUGGAGAGAAGCCUUUUGCCUGCUCCCUUUGUGGGCAAAAAUUCUCCCUAAAGAUGAACUUAAAAAGUCACACAAGAACCCACACUGGUGAGAGACCUUUUGCCUGCUCAGUUUGUGGUCAAAUAUUCUCUCGAAAAGGACAUUUGACAAGGCACACAAGAACCCACACUGGAGAGAAGCCUUUUGCCUGCUCAGUUUGCGGUCAAAGAUUCUCCGUCAAGGAAAGCUUAAAAAUACACACAAGAACCCACACAGGUGAGAAACCUUUUGCCUGCUCAGUUUGUGGUCAACGAUUUUCUCGAAAAGGAUAUUUGACAAGUCACGCAAGAACCCACACUGGAGAGAAGCCUUUUGCAUGCUCGGUUUGUGGGCAAAGAUUCUCCGUCAAGAAAAACUUAAAAAUACACACGAGAACACACACAGGUGAGAAACCUUUUGUCUGCUCAGUUUGUGGUCAAAGAUUCUCCCUAAAGAUGAACUUAAAAAGUCACACAAGAACCCACACUGGUGAGAAACCUUUUGCAUGCUCAGUUUGUGGUCAAAGAUUCUCCUUAAAGGAAAGCUUAAAAGUACACACCAGAACCCACACUGGAGAGAAGCCUUUUGCCUGCUCAGUUUGUGGUCAAACUUUCUCUGAGAAGGGAACCUUGAAAAGUCACUCAAGAACCCACACUGGUGAGAAACCUUUUGCCUGCUCAGUCUGUGAUCAAAGAUUCUCUCGAAAAGGACAUUUGACAAGUCACACAAGAACCCACACUGGUGAGAAACCUUUUGCAUGCUCAGUUUGUGGUCAAAGGUUCUCCUUAAAGGAAAGCUUAAAAGUACACACCAGAACCCACACUGGAGAGAAGCCUUUUGCCUGCUCAGUUUGUGGUCAAACUUUCUCUGAGAAGGGAACCUUGAAAAGUCACACAAGAACCCACACUAAUGAGAAACCGUUUUCCUGCUCAUUGUGUGGUCAAAGAUUCUCUCGAAAGGGACAUUUGACAAGUCACAAAAUAACGCACACUGGAGAGAAGCCCUUUUCCUGCUCAGUUUGUGUAAAAAGGUUUUCUCAUAAGUAUCUGGCUAAGAAUCAUAAGUGUGUUGGUGAGAAUAGCAGUGAUCAAUGAAAGUUUCGCCUCUCGUCGGAGAGAGCCCGCAGCUGCAGCUGAAGGGGGAGGCAACCUAAGAAGACGUUUGCAAAGACCGGAGGGUGUGUCUGCGAAUUAAUUUGCAAGGACAGCCAGUGCGCCCACUGGCUGCAUGGACGAGGCAAGCUGGAAGACUAGGACGCCGUAACAGUUCAUGUUCUAUGUCUCUUAUUGUCUGUGUAUAUUUUUCAGUUAGAUGAACAAUCUUAGCUAUUUUAGUCCAGUAUGCAGUAAUUGCAGCCAAUUGGUGGGAAAGGGGAGGUUUUGCGAGGGCAAGUGUUAAAUCGCGACCUGUGUAUUUCCUUUUCCUGCCGAGAAGUUGCUGUUAGCACAAAGUCUUGAAUAAAGUUAGGGUAAGGAUGAGUGAGAAGAGCCCCCCUCCCGUUAUAUUGGGAGGAGGUGAAUGCACGGUCCUUCCUCCAGUGUUCUCGUCCCUCCCGGUACCGAGGUGGUUGGUCCCCGACUCCGUAUCUCCUGGCUUUGGGGUCAGUCCGGGCGUGUCUUCGCCCAUAGCCGACCACUGUCCAUUCAUCAUUCCCAAGCAUGGGGUUGGCGCGUCCCAGUAGUAAAAGCAGCAUAAAGCUUAAGAUCAUGCCCAAGGUGAAGAGGGAGAAGGAAAAGCUCCACAAGCAGAAGUCAAACAGCUCGCUCGCUCUCAGGUUGGAACAGCCGAUAAAACACACCCGAAGUCAUCUAGCAGACAAAUCGGAAUUUGGACUGUUGUUUUGAGCAGGUUACUUUGCUUCCCUCUCGUGGCCCGGUGAGGUAGAAUUUGCAGCCGCAUGGCCAGCUACUCGAAGCUGCUUUCACACAGCAUUCCAUAUUGUCCACAAACGUAUUCUCCUUUCCUUUUUGAGAGCCUCACCCACCGAAAUAGCCUUUGCCCCGAGAACAUGCGUGCUUGCACACUGCCGAUGUAGGUUGCGACAUUAACAUAAUUAGAUGUCAGCGUGCCAGCUCCGAUUGUUUUCAACACAAAGUAGCAUGCGUAGUGAUUUCUAAAAAAAUGAAUACCUCUCUGGCAUUUUCAAUCCAAAAAGUAUUUUAUACAUGAUAAUCGCUCCUAAAAUUGUGGCCAGUUGUUAAAGAUGUACUGUUUUCAGAAGAACUUUUGUAAAUCAUUUUUGUACGCACGUGUAUAUAGAGUACAUAUUGCGGGCAUCGGGCCAAAAUCCUUCCAUGUCCAAAUUUGGUCCGUCUAUCCAUCCAUUUUCAACACCGCUUAUUCCGGUAAAGGUCGCGGGGCGCUGCGCCGGAGCCUAUCACAGCUGACUUUGGGCGAAAGGCGGACUACGCCCCGAACCGGUCGCCAGUCAGUCGCAGGGCACAUAUAGACAGGGACAACCAUUCGGACUCACAUUCACAGCGUCACUGAGUGGGAACUGAACCCACGCUGCCCGCACCAAAGUCAGGCGAGUGUACCACGACACCAUCAGUGACUUGCCCAAAUCUGUUCAAUUGAAUAUUUUUUCAUCAAUUGAUACCGUUGUUCAGUCCACACGUGGGACUGUGAUUCUUCCAAACGACUGAGCGUUGUAAAUCGCUUGCUCUUUGAUGACGCAGUGUUCAUAGAGACGUCGUUAUUUAGUUUUCCUGAAAAGUAAUGGUUUUGGACAUGCAAGUAUUCCACCCAACGCCAAUGAUAUCCAACCUAUAGGAUACAGCACGUUUUUUGUACGAGCGCGCAUUUGGAGUUUGUAAUCGCUUGCGGUCGUGCCACUUUAGGAACACGGGAUGUGAAGUGUACGACUCCUGAAGCAGAAUCACCAGGCAACUGAUGAGCUUUUCCGGCCCCUAACCGUGACCUCCGCGAGUGAGGAGAUGCCGUCCUCUUAUCUGCCGGCACCCGCUGUCCUGACUGCGGCUUAGGCGGCAAGGAUUAGCUGUAUUGCGUUUCCUUACUGUGCAUUUUUUUUUUCGAAGCGGUGUCACUCGCAUUGCUCCUCCACUGGCCUGCUGUGCCAAUGAAAGAGCCUACAAUUCUGUCAUUUUGUCAUAAACAGUGUCUACACGUUGCUUGCAUGCAGCAGAGUGCAGCCAUCUCUUAGAAACGACACGACGGAAACCGCCUUCAGACUGAAAUGAGACUUUUUGGAGACACCUUGUUUCUACAUCACGCAACCUUCAAUGACACCAGACGCCGAUGUGCAGAAAUCUUGGACGUUGAACAGAAAAGGAAAACAUUGACUGUAUUUGUGUGUUGAGAUGUUAAUAAUAAUACUGAUAAUAAUACCGAUAAUGAUGUGCAGAUGCAAGGUGCUCAAGCGGUUUUGACUUUGUUUGGCUUGUCGUGACCUCAACUAAAGAGGUCAUGGUUGGUGGUUCAUGAUCAGCUGACUGUAGAUGUAAUGCCCCAAUGUGAAUGUUUGCUUUGCCAGUAGUUUGCAAUUGUUCUUAUCGUCUUGCUCUCGUGGGUUUGCUGUCCAAUCCCCCACCACCCCCAGGUCCACCAAACCAUCCCCCCGUGCGUUCAUAAACACGAUAGGAUCAAUGAAGAAAUCAAGUCGGCCAAAUGGGCAAAUCGGUCGUUUGCGUAAGCAUGUUUAGUCUAAGCCGACGCUUGCUGCGAGGGGCAUACUAAACGAUAGCGCGUGCAGGAACAUGCUCGUUUCCGCUCACGGUCGAGCAUCGCCAAGCUCCACUGUCGUCGGGUGCUGUUUCUGCAUCCGGUGUGCGCCGAUGCCUUUUUGCCUUCAAGGCUUUUGUGGUGUUGUGCCAAGCAGAGCGACACACUACAGUCGUGUGUGCAAUGUGGCGCUCAUUUCAAGUUUACCGUGUCUGUGCUCGCACUUUACAAACUCCUUGAUGGGGGAAAUGUGCGUGUACACGCGUUUACGGGAAAGUAGGUGAAGAAUAUAAAUUGUUAUUUGUGAUGAACUAUUAAAUAUGUAAUGUAAAAAUGCACGCCCAUCGAUGUGAUCCAUGGCUGUGGCGUUCCUGCUCCCGUGUCCACUGACGCGCCGGGCCAACGUGUUACCAUGGUAACCACGUUAUCCAUUUGAAGCUUAAAGCCAAAGCUUAAGUCGACUCGUGAAUCACUUAUUGAUGAAGAUAAAAUGUUUGUGUACAAUGUGUCACUUUUUGAAAUCGUAUCAUCAACUUGUUCUGAACAUAUGAUCGCAACGUGUAUAUUGGUUUUAAAAACAAAGCUCAUGUAUAUUGAAUUUUAUCAAUGAUCGUUUGAAUGUAAUUUAAUGGGGUUAACAAUGAUUCCGCAAUGCCGGGUGUUUGCACGAGUGUGUGCGCGUUGCCAGUUGUUCCGUCAUGUAUCAAAGAUAAGCUUUGGAAAUUAAAAUGACUUGAUGGUGUGAUAAAUGUGCGUCUGCCGCUGCUUCCAACGUGUCUGACUUAAAAGUAAGGUUUAUUAAUACCCGCAUGUAAGUUUGUUGGGUUUGUAUGAAAAUGCUUGCCGCAGCUUCUCCCUACAUACAUCGUGACCAAGAAAGCUGACACAAUAUGAAGUUGUCGUUUCUCUUAAUUGUCGAUUCAUGAAAUGUUUAGAGUGAGGAGCUAUAAAGGUGUUCUGUCAUAAACUGACUUUGCCUCUUUUCCCAAGACAACUCUGCUUUCAGCUGGACUAUCGCAUGACAGGCGUGCGUGUCAAAUGCCUCAGUGUGUUCUGUAUGUUGUUUGUGAAUCCAUCCAGUAAGGAAUAAACCGUAUUGGAAAAGUAA
This is an RNA transcript of Phyllopteryx taeniolatus (common seadragon), 6004 nucleotides long. It is a transcript of the gene named gastrula zinc finger protein XlCGF57.1-like, with no coding region annotated. The record is from RefSeq and is a predicted model, not a curated record. NCBI's taxonomy places the organism in Eukaryota, Metazoa, Chordata, Actinopteri, Syngnathiformes, Syngnathidae. The transcript has 3 exons.